Molecule: transfer RNA, 65 nt
Filed under: Dalbulus maidis (maize leafhopper)
Lineage: Eukaryota; Metazoa; Arthropoda; Insecta; Hemiptera; Cicadellidae
Description: tRNA-Leu
Source: RNAcentral
UUCAGUAUGGCAGACAAGUGCGAUGAAUUUAAGAUUCAUACAUAAAUACAUUUAUUUUACUGAAA